This 403-nucleotide ribosomal RNA is filed under the name uncultured bacterium. RNAcentral describes it as "partial 16S ribosomal RNA". It matches the Rfam family "Bacterial small subunit ribosomal RNA", at positions 28 to 526 of the family's 1533-position model. The record is from RNAcentral.
GACGAACGCUGGCGGCGUGCCUAAUACAUGCAAGUCGAACGCAGUGGGGACGGGUGAGUAACCCGUGGGUAACCUCCCAUCAGAGGGGAUAACACUUGGAAACAGGUGCUAAACCGAUACUGAUGGAUGAACCCGCGGUGCAUUAGCUAGUUGGUGAGGUAACGGCUCACCAAGGCCACGGUGCAUAGCCGACCGGAGAGCGUGAACGGCAACACUUGUACUGAGACACGACCCAGACUCCGACGGGAGGCAGCAGGAGGGAAUCUUCGGCAAUGGACGAAAGUCGGACCGAGCAACGCCGCGGUAGUGAAGAAGGUUUUCGGCUCGUAAAUCUCUGUUGUUAUAGAAGCGGUAUCUAACCAGAAAGCCACGGCUAACUACGUGCCAGCAGCCGCGGUAAUUC